UACGUAGGGGGCAAGCGUUGUCCGGAAUCAUUGGGCGUAAAGAGCGUGUAGGCGGCUCGAUAAGUCUGCUGUGAAAGUCCAGGGCUCAACCCUGGAAGGCCGGUGGAAACUGUCGGGCUAGAGUCCGGAAGAGGCGAGUGGAAUUCCCGGUGUAGCGGUGAAAUGCGCAGAUAUCGGGAGGAACACCAGUGGCGAAGGCGGCUUCCUGGACCUGUUCUGACACUGAGGAGCGAAAGCGUGGGGAGCGAUCCGG
RNAcentral lists this ribosomal RNA (253 nucleotides) under uncultured bacterium. RNAcentral's name for it is "partial 16S ribosomal RNA". It matches the Rfam family "Bacterial small subunit ribosomal RNA", at positions 524 to 776 of the family's 1533-position model. The record is from RNAcentral.